GAUGAACGCUGGCGGCGUGCUUAACACAUGCAAGUCGAACGGAAAGGCCAGUGCUUGCACUGGUGCUCGAGUGGCGAACGGGUGAGUAACACGUGGGUGGUCUGCCCUGCACUUUGGGAUAAGCCUGGGAAACUGGGUCUAAUACCAGAUAGGACCAUGCUUUGGAUGGUGUGGUGGAAAGUUUUUUCGGUGUGGGAUGAGCUUGCGGCCUAUCAGCUUGUUGGUGGGGUAAUGGCCUACCAAGGCGUCGACGGGUAGCCGGCCUGAGAGGGUGUACGGCCACAUUGGGACUGAGAUACGGCCCAGACUCCUACGGGAGGCAGCAGUGGGGAAUAUUGCACAAUGGGCGCAAGCCUGAUGCAGCGACGCCGCGUGGGGGAUGACGGCCUUCGGGUUGUAAACUCCUUUCGCAACUGACGAAGCUUUUUGUGACGGUAGGUUGAGAAGAAGCACCGGCUAACUACGUG
RNAcentral lists this ribosomal RNA (467 nucleotides) under uncultured bacterium. RNAcentral's name for it is "partial 16S ribosomal RNA". It matches the Rfam family "Bacterial small subunit ribosomal RNA", at positions 28 to 507 of the family's 1533-position model. The record is from RNAcentral.